AUAGGGAGUCGGACCUGCCCAGUGAAUAAUUUUAAACGGCCGCGGUACUCUGACCGUGCAAAGGUAGCAUAAUCAUUUGCCCUAUAAUUGAGGGCUAGUAUGAAUGGUUUGACAAGAAUAAAACUGUCUCCAUACAAUUAUAUAGAAUUUUAUUUUUAGGUGAAGAAGCCUAGAUUAAAUUAAAAGACAAGAAGACCCUAUCGAGCUUUAAAACAAUUAAUAAGUUAGUUUGUAUAAUUAUAAAACAAUAUUUAUUUAAAAUUUUGGUUGGGGCGACUGAGGAACAAAUAAAGCUUCUUUUAAAUUAAAAAUUACAAACAAGUAUUGAUCCAAAAAAUUUGAUUAAAGAAAUUAGUUACCGUAGGGAUAACAGCAUUAUCUUUUUUGAGAGCCCAUAUCGAAAAAAAGGUUUGUGACCUCGAUGUUGGACCAGAAUAUCCUAAAGAUGUAGAAGUCUUUAAGGGUUGGUCUGUUCGACCAUUAAAAUUCUA
Molecule: ribosomal RNA, 491 nt
Filed under: Sassia subdistorta
Lineage: Eukaryota; Metazoa; Mollusca; Gastropoda; Littorinimorpha; Ranellidae
Description: partial 16S ribosomal RNA
Rfam family: Bacterial large subunit ribosomal RNA
Source: RNAcentral